GGCCCGUAAGCUUUAAGAAGCAUGUACUUUGAAAGUACAAGAUAAGGCACGACCCUUACGAGCUU
RNAcentral lists this transfer RNA (65 nucleotides) under Mnais tenuis. RNAcentral's name for it is "tRNA-Ser". The record is from RNAcentral. Lineage: Eukaryota; Metazoa; Arthropoda; Insecta; Odonata; Calopterygidae.